GUGCUUGCUUCAGUGGCACAUACACUAAAAUUGGAAAGAUACAGAAAAUAUUAGCAUGGCCCGUGUGCAAAGCUGACAGGCAAAUCGGUGGAACAUUACACAUUUUA
This is a small nuclear RNA of Meriones unguiculatus (Mongolian gerbil), 107 nucleotides long. Lineage: Eukaryota; Metazoa; Chordata; Mammalia; Rodentia; Muridae. The record is from Ensembl.